AAAUAAAUCAAAACUUUCAACAACGGAUCUCUUGGUUCUGGCAUCGAUGAAGAACGCAGCAAAAUGCGAUAAGUAAUGUGAAUUGCAAAAUUCAGUGAAUCAUCGAAUCUUUGAACGCACAUUGCGCCCGCCAGUAUUCUGGCGGGCAUGCCUGUUC
Molecule: ribosomal RNA, 157 nt
Filed under: Fusarium fujikuroi
Lineage: Eukaryota; Fungi; Ascomycota; Sordariomycetes; Hypocreales; Nectriaceae
Description: 5.8S ribosomal RNA
Rfam family: 5.8S ribosomal RNA
About the family: 5.8S ribosomal RNA (5.8S rRNA) is a component of the large subunit of the eukaryotic ribosome.
Source: RNAcentral